This 253-nucleotide ribosomal RNA is filed under the name uncultured bacterium. Its description in RNAcentral is "partial 16S ribosomal RNA". It matches the Rfam family "Bacterial small subunit ribosomal RNA", at positions 524 to 776 of the family's 1533-position model. The record is from RNAcentral.
UACAGGGGGGGCAAGCGUUGUUCGGAAUUACUGGGCGUAAAGGGUUCGUAGGUGGCCAACUUAGUCAGACGUGAAAUCCCUCAGCUUAACUGGGGAACUGCGUCUGAUACUGGAUGGCUUGAGUGCAGGAGAGGAACGCGGAAUUCCAGGUGUAGCGGUGAAAUGCGUAGAUAUCUGGAGGAACACCGGUGGCGAAGGCGGCGUCCUGGACCAACACUGACACUGAUGAGCGAAAGCCAGGGGAGCAAACGGG